GAUGAACGCUGGCGGCGUGCCUAAUACAUGCAAGUCGAGCGAACGGACGAGAAGCUUGCUUCUCUGAUGUUAGCGGCGGACGGGUGAGUAACACGUGGAUAACCUACCUAUAAGACUGGGAUAACUUCGGGAAACCGUAGCUAAUACCGGAUAAUAUUUUGAACCGCAUGGUUCAAAAGUGAAAGACGGUCUUGCUGUCACUUAUAGAUGGAUCCGCGCUGCAUUAGCUAGUUGGUAAGGUAACGGCUUACCAAGGCAACGAUGCAUAGCCGACCUGAGAGGGUGAUCGGCCACACUGGAACUGAGACACGGGCCAGACUCCUACGGGAGGCAGCAGUAGGGAAUCUUCCGCAAUGGGCGAAAGCCUGACGGAGCAACGCCGCGUGAGUGAUGAAGGUCUUCGGAUCGUAAAACUCUGUUAUUAGGGAAGAACAUAUGUGUAAGUAACUGUGCACAUCUUGACGGUACCUAAGCAGAAAGCCACGGCUAACUACGU
Molecule: ribosomal RNA, 496 nt
Filed under: uncultured bacterium
Lineage: Bacteria
Description: partial 16S ribosomal RNA
Rfam family: Bacterial small subunit ribosomal RNA
Source: RNAcentral